GGAAGGUUCAGGCGUAAAAGGGAGACACUGCCUAGCGGAGCAGUCAUCGGUGGAGUGGUCUGAGGCAGAGUGGGAGGGCUUUGGCUCAUUCGGGCUUUGGCAAUGUAAGUGGGAGGAAACCUGAGCACCAGGAGGAAAACCGUGCGGUCAUGGAGAGAUUGUAAGAACUCCUUACAGAGAGUGGCGGGUCACUGGCACUAGCAGAGAUCAGACACCUGCAUGUCUCUCCUUUCGCUCUGACACGAAGUCCAGCAACAGAGAUCAGUCACACCACAAUUUCACUCGUCUUAGCUGCCACAUCAUUAGAAUUCGUUUGCCAACCUCAAUGAAAAAGCUAAAGUAUUGAAGGUUACCAUUAAUAAGAAGUCCAAUGCUGUGCUGCUCGCUUUGUGCUAAAUGAUUACAGUGGGAAAUCCAGUGUCACCAACGUGCUCUCUAACCUUCAGUGGGAACCACCUGAAAACCGACGUACUAAACUAUGGUUAAUCUCCAUUUUCAAAGAAGUUCACAACAUCACUGAUGCACCAUCAAUAACUCACACUGAGACGUAAGGCGAGAUAUCAGCUUUUAUUGACUGGAAGAAGGAACCAGGAGUGAGUGUCCAUCAUACUAUGUCCUGGAGACUGAGGCCGAGCGUCAGGCCUCAGAUCGCCUUUAUACAGGGGCCUGUGGGAGGAGCCACAGGAGCAGUCAGCAGGGGGCGUGUCCCGACAGGCACAUAGUUCACCACAAUCACUCCAUCAGACGUCUAAAUUCGUCACAGGGUCAGUUCAACUCGACAGCAGACCGGACCUUACAUACUGGAAACCCCUUCAUUCAACAAGAUUUGCUACCAAUACUCCCGCUACCCAAGAUCAAAAAGCAAGUGGAAUCUUCUGCCGCCAGACCUGCGCAGUAUUUCUGACAUUAAUAUUUUUAAAGAUAGACUCAAUUAAAUCAACCUAGGGGAUCUAGUCAAAAAGCUCACUUUACAAUUUAACUCUCACGCUGUUCACACCAACUGCGCGUUAUAACAGCCGUCCGGCAGUGCUUAUGCAGUACCAAGCAGAAGCAGAAGCAGAAACUAGAAGGUGGUGGGAGAAGAAGGAAUCUGAUCGGAGAGGAGAGAGGACAUGGAAAAAAAGGAAAGAAGGGGGGGACGCUAAAGGAAGGUGAUAGACCAGAGUGGGAAUAGGAAAAGAGAGAAGGGGAGGAAAUAUCGAUGUUCAUGCUACCGGUUUGGAGCCUACCAAGAUGGAAUACUUUCCUCUAACCGGAAAGAGGCCUCAUUGUAACAAACGAUGUGGCCAUGAACCAACAUGUCAGAAAUGACUGGGAAUAGGAAUUAAAAUGGAUGGUCACUGGGAAUUUCCAUUCUGGUGGGUGGAGUGGAGGUGCUUGACAUUGGAGGUGCCCCAAUUUAUGUCGGGUCUCACCAAUGUAGAAGAGGCCACAUUGGGAGCACUGGCCACAAUAGACAACCCCGAUAGAUUUGCAGGUAAAUUGUUGCCUCACCUGGAAGGACUGCUUGGGGCCCUGAAUGGAGUAAGUGAGGAGGUAAAUGGGUAAGUGUAGCAUAUUUGUCACUUGCAGGGAAAUGUGCCAGGAGGAUGAUUAGUGGGGAGGGACAGGGGAAUUAUACCUAGUAUGUGUGAGGAGAGAUGCAUCAGUAAGUCAGAGGGAAAAAGGAAAUAUGAGUGGUUGACAGGACUUGAUGUGGGUGAUUCUGCAAACCUGGUUAUGUUAUGAAACUGCUUUCUGCACUGUUUCUUAGAUAAGGUCACAAAACACCUGCUGCUCAUCUCCGUGCUAACCGCACUUCCUGAGUGAAGCCAACAGGUUUCUUCCACCCACUGCUGGAGAAAUGUAUGUGAGUCUUGUUACUGACUACAUCCAGCAAAAAUCCAAGGGAAGGACUGAUCUUUCUGAAUCCAUCCAAAGCACUUCUUGAGUCCGACAAAUUGUAUUGCUGCAUUUGGUCUUUAAACUACAGAUAUUUUAUUAGAUUAAUGCAACAUUUUUGUAGGAAAUAAAGGGGCAAAAAAAAAAUAAAUUCACCGAAACUCAGAAUGAACAAACACUGAUGGAAAAUCACAAAGAGAAAUAAUACAGGACUUUUCAUUCUGCCCAAUGCAUUAAUAAUUUCUUUGGACAACAAAGAUUCUGCUUCCUAAAUACUUUUGAGUGUAUUUUAUGGAUUUUGGGCUGCUGAUCGUGAAUAUUACCAUGAAAUUUCCCUAUCAUCCACCAUUAUUUUUAAAAAUUGCCUAUUUUUGUUAUUUCAAGUCAAUUAAAAUAUUGCCCACAAUGUAAGCUGAAAAGUUUUCUGUCUUGUCCAGAUAUGCCUGGGAAUGCUUGGGCAGGACAGGUUAUAGAAAGGCUACAAGAGCAUCAUGCACACGUCAUUCUGCGCGUUGCGCUUACAGGUAUAUUGGUUUGCGAACUUGUUCAUGCGCAUGCUUUACCCACAUAACAUAAUGUAUUUACUCAUUGUAAUAAAGUAAUUGUACUUCAUUUUGCUAAGCAUUUUGUCAUACCAAAAUGUCCCACCAAUGUUGCAAAAGCUAUGAUACUUUCUGUUAUAUUUGUGAUGAGUAUAUACUUAAAUCUCAAAGACAGAGUAUGACUCCUCGCAUAAGAAAGCCUACGAGCUCCACUUUGGGUGUAAAAUUGGUGACCAAGGCAAAGCCUGGGCUCCUCGCAUUUGUUGUGCAACAUGCUCUGUCGAUAUGACAGCUUGACUCAGAGAUACUUGGAAGUCAAUGCCAUUCGCUGUCCCGAUGAUAUGGUGAGAGCAGAAGGAUCAUGUGACAGACUGCUACUUCUGUCUGACCAGUGUGUCUGGUUUCUCUGAUAAAAACAAAAGAUCCAUUGAACACCCCGAUCGCCCUUCAGGCAAUGAGACCUGUCAUACAUGAUAGUACAUUGUCUUCAGUCCUGAAGCCACCAGUGACAUGGAGUCUAGAGGAGGUAGACAAAGAUGCCGUGAUGCCUGAACCAGGAAUGGAAAAUGACACUGAUACUGAUACAGAUUUUGAACCCUUUAUGUCGAGUGAGCCUCAGCUGCUAAUUUAAUCUGAGUUAACUGACCUGGUCAGAGACCUGGGCUUGUCAAAGACAAAAGCGGAAUUACUGGGUUCAAGACUGCAAGGAUGGAAUCUACUGUCACCAGGCACAAAAAUUUCUGUGAAGGAUUUCAAUAUUUGAGACAGAUAUUUCCCAGAAUAACUGAUGCCAAGAUUAAAGAAGGCAUUUUUGUUGGUCCACAAAUCAAGCAAAUCUUCAAUAAACAAACACGAGGAAAUCUGCAGAUGCUGGAAAUUCAAACAACACACACAAAAUGCUGGUGGAACACAGCAGGUCAGACAGCAUCUAUAGGGAGAAGCGCUGUCGACGUUUCGGGCCGAGACCCUUCCUUAGUCAGGAAAUCUUCAAUGAUGUACAAUUCGUAGAACUCCUAGUGGGACCGGAGAAAAACACAUGAAAGGCAUUCAAGGAUGUUGUUGAAAAUUUUCUUGGCAACUACAGAGCACCAAACUACAUGCAGCUGGUUGAUGAAAUGCUUCAAACAUACAAAACAAUGAAGAGCUACGUCACUAAUGAAGAGCCAUCAGUGAUGAGCAUGGUGCAAGUUUUCACCAGGACAUUACGGUCAUGGUGUAACGGUAUAAGGGCAACUGGAAAUCCAUCAAUGCCGGCUGAUUAUUGUUGGACACUUAAGGAAGAAGCCUCAGACACUGAGUACAAAUGAAAAUCACCAACAAAACAUUUUGGCUUAGUUGAAUUAUCGCAACGUGUCAGCACUGUUCUGCAAUUCAGCACAUCAUACUCAAUAAAAAUUCAUUUCUUUUUUCUCCAAAUUCCUACGUGAUACAAGUAGUUAUAUUUGAGUUCAGCUUCAAGAUGUCUAUCAUAAACAAAACUUUCGAAAACACUUGCUGUCCAGUGUUUAGUGGCUCUUUUCUAUUCAUGAUUAUACAUGCCUCCAUCUCGCCACAUGUUCUGAAACAAGGAAAUAGCCAACUGAACCGAUGUGAUCAAAAAGCAACACCUGGAAUAAUUGCAUCAAACAAGUACAAUACAGUAUGAGAAAAAAUAAAAUACCUGAAAUGGCCACAUAAGUCUCUAUAAUAUAUAAAUAAUUCAAGUGGAACAAAACACAAAGUAUGGAAGUCCCAUUUGUACUAUUCUAGUUGUUGGUAAGCAAAAAUGGGAGAGGUAUUUCUUCAGCGCACAAACCUAAGCUUAAUUUUUCUCCAGUUUUUAAAUUUAAAAACCACACUUAUUUUAGUUAUCGCUGUGGCUCAGCUAACAGCGUUUUAUGGCUGAGGUGAAGUAUGAAAGCUCAAGUUUCACUCCAGAGACAAGAUCCAUGGUGACAUUGCUAUGCAGCACUGAGGAAGCAAUUGGUGGCGGCAUAUGUCUGUUAAACUUCAAAAUGAGACUUCACCUGUAGUUUCAGGAGAAAGUAAUAGAUCAACCACAUUGUUUUGAAGAUAGCUCAGUUUCUCCAAUGCCUUAGUGUUAUUCAUUAUCGAUAUCUUUGCAUUUGAUUGUUGUAGGCGAUUUGACUGCUGAAUUUUCUACAUUACAAUAGUGACUCUAGAAGUGCUUUGCACCAACCUGAAGCUCGAAAGGGAGAGCCCAAGUUCAGUCCUUUCCAAUAUGGUAUGCCACUCAGUUCAAGAACUGUAAAUAAACAUAACAUACAUUGAUCAAACAUCAUCUGCAAAAAUGCUGCUGAAUCACAGGAUCACAUCCCCACAGACAUGUACCCGAUAUGGGUGCUGCAUAGUGCUCAGACAGUGGCAGUUGGGAAGAUUUCAAAGCACUCGUUGAGAUUCUGGCAAGCCAUUGAAUGAGGUACAACAGGUAAAUGUAGAUGUCAUUGGUAAAGGAUGAAAUAUCCUGAAUCACUAUCCAGGCAUUCAACCCAAACUGUUGGACAUUCCUUGCCUCCCAUGAAUGCUGCUCAACCCCGCUGAGUUGCUCCAGCAGACUGUGUUUUGCUUAAGAUUCUAGCAUUUGCAGUCCCUUAUGUCUCCAUGAACUGUUCUUUCCACAUUUUGUAAUGCAAUGAUCACAAUUGUUAAUUGAGUGAAGAAUAAUGAAAUGUCCGUCCUGUUGCACAAAGAGGAUGCUUGUUAUUUGAACAAGCUGCUUAAAAAGUCAAAUUUUUAAAAACGUGUUCUGUGAAUCUGUGACUCCAAUUAUUACUCGUGUCUUAUUGCCAUGAGAUGGCAAUGGUGCCAUUUUCCUGGAAUCCUUCCUUUCCUUGUUGUGACAGUGGUGAGGUCAAUGGAAAGAGCAACCAAAUGAAAAGAAUGGAUAGACCAUCAAUUUGUAAUCACCCUUUUGACGUGAUUGUGCAAAGUCAAAGUUUAUCUCAUAACUUUAUAAUACUCUCAAACUCCAUUUCCCUGAUGUAUGGCAGGAUCCAUUGUAAUCUUCUCCAGUGAGUAGGAAAGGAAAACUACACAAGUUUUGAAUCUACUUGAAAUUUAACUCUGGUGUAUUGCAGGAUGCAUUACAAUCUUCUGCAAUGGAUAGGAAAGGUAACACUGCACUAGAUAUGAAUCUGCUUGAAAUUUAACUUUUCGUUGUCAUCAAUUUUAAAUAGCAAGAUUCCACAAAUAGACAAUGUUCUCUUUCAAACAAUAGGACAUCGGGAAUUCAUGUAAAUUGCAACUCUUUUAUACUAAUUGACUCAAAUGUAAUUUUAACUAGGAUAUGAAUGGUUGUUGUAGAUCAGCAAAAGGUAAGGACAAAGUCAAAAUAAGAAUUCCAUUGUAGAAUAGAUGGAUGGUCAUAACUUUCCCUGCCUUGGACAUCGCCUUCCAGAAAACUAGGAGGCAACCACCUAGCAGCUCAAAAUGUUAAUCCUUCUUGGAAUGGUUGGGGGAUGGUCUGAGGCCUGUGAGAGGAGCUUGGUGUUUAAUAUUGUUUUAGUUAAAAUAGGGAGUGGAAAAUUAGUUACUAGCUACCCCCCCCCCCCCCCCCCCGUUAAUAUUUACUUCUUCUGUAUUUCCACAGGAGAAUCAAAUGACAAACUGCAUAGGUUUUGUUGUGGAAAAACUUGUUUUAAGACUUAAAUUAAUACCACCCUGUGGUAAGUCAAAUUGCUUAAAACAAUCAAACGUCCUUCAUUUCCAUUUUAUAUCAUCCUGAAGCUCUAAAAAGGUAACGACUUUUGAAGUGCUAUCACUUUGGUGAUGUAGAAAUGCGGCAAGCAGUUUGCAUGCAACAUGCUCCCAGUAAUAUUGACAACAAUCAUAUUAUAAACAGAUAACUGUUUAGGAAUGUUUCUUGAUUAUUAAAUGUUGGCCCUGAUAUUUGCUUUUCUAAAUGAAUUGAUUCCGCAACCUAUGGACUCACUUUCAAGGACUUAACCACUCAAGUUCUCAGUAUUAUUUAUGUGCUUAGUUAUUGAUAUAUUUAUCUGCACAUUCUGUCUUCUUUUGCACAUUGGUUGUUUUUCAGUCUUUGCUUGUGUAUUGUUGUUCAUUGAUUCUGUUGUAUUUCUCUAUUCUACUGCGCAUGUCUGCAAGAAAAUGAAUCUCAAGGUAGUAUGUGGUGACAUAUGUAUAGUUGGAUAAUAAAUAUACUUCGAACUUCAAAGUAUUUUUAAUGAGAAAGUGAUAAAGAUGUGAUGAAUCAGCUGAAUUAUGACACCUCACAUAGCUUAACACUUGACAAAUACUAUGCCCAGAACCAAACUGGAAUAUUUGUAUGUGGAAUGGAACCCAUACUUGGAACAGUGAGAGUACUACUACCAACUGCACUCCUUUGUUUCUGUACUGGUGUUAUUAUGAUAAUGCUAUAGAUUACUCCUUCAAUAAUCUGCAAUGAAUGAUGCAUUAAUAGUAAAUAGUUUUUGUUUAAAUUCAUAAUCCUUCUGAGUGAGUAUUUUGUUUCUUUUUUAACUGGCAGGACGAUGUUGUCUGUUCUGUAUGUGUGGCUGUGAAACAACAAGCAGCUUUUUAAUUCACAAAGUCUGGGGAUAAGGCGGUAUUUCAUUUGCUCCUCUGUAUGCUGUCAAAUUUCUUGGGUCACAUUUGGAAGUAUGACAAGGACAGAAUACUAACUAAAUAAUAACUAUUGUGCAAAAAAAUUGUCAAUUGAUUAUUUAUUGUUUCUGACAAAUGCCUUAUAUGUUGAAAUCAAUUGUGAUUUACAUCUAUAACCAAUUAUACUUGAAAGUAAUCAACUGUGACUGCUGCAAAAACAAAGAAGAUAGUAUGUGUAGCUGAAGUAAAAAAAAAGUCAUAAUUAAAAUAGAUUUGAGCAUUUUCUCUAAAAUGUUAGCACGCACAUGCUGAAAAUGAUUCUAGCUUAUCUUAAGUGACACAGUAUUCUCGUUUUGCUGUUUUCUCUUUAAAUUUUCACUUUAACUCCAAUGUUUUUUGACAUACGGACAGAAUAUUUUAUCAGUGAAAAAAAUUCAAAUGAGCAAAUCAAUAUAUUUGGAUGACCAAACAAAAUUUCAAUUCAUAUUAAUAAUACUUGCACUAAAUAUCAUUAAAUCCAUGAUGUAAAUACAAUUAAUUUUAUUGUAUACUCAUAUAGAGAUAUCUUACUUCUCUACAUUUCUGUGUACAACUGAAAUUACUCAUUCAAGUUUUAACCAAAUGAUUGGAAUAAAUGCAAAUAAACACAUUUGAAUAUAUAAUUAAAAUUAUUAUAACAGCAAGAAUAAUAAGAAAAAUACUAACAAUAUUUAAUGUGGGGUAGGAAGGGAAAUUAGUUGUAAUGGGAUUGGGAUUUAGUGCGGACAUGGAUUGACGAAAGUUUGGGACAGGCAAGCAAAAUGUUAGGUAGUGGCCAGAUAUACCUCUGAUUGAAAUGUUAAGACCGCAUGAAGAUGGCUGUGAAUGUGGACGAGAGAGUUCAUCAUAUUGGAGAAAAUCAGGUCUACUAAGAGGGAGGUGAACACAGUUGAAAGGGAGCUUGAUUAAUUCAGAAGAAAUUUAAGAUGACUGAGGAUGCAAUAACAGUGCAGAGGGCAGGGGAAGACCUGUAGGUGUGCAUCAGAGAGUGUUCCAUCACUACAGAACAGAGUCUCUGUUCAUCAGGCAAGUGUUUACUGUUCCCUAGUUCUAUAAAAGUCAGGGGCCUUGUUAUUUUUAUUGUUGUUGGAAAACACAUUGUGUCAUAUUUUUUUGGUGUGAAAGCAACCUGGAAUCUGCCCAAUGCAAAAAGUUGUGUGGGAAUUGCUGUUGGCCACUGGUUGCACAAUUAUCAAGGAAUUUUGAAUGGAGCUGAACAUAAUAUAUCAGAAACAAUGGGAAGAUUACACAUGAUCAACAGAAAUUUUGCUUUCUGAAUACUUUUGGGUGUAUCUUAUGCAUUGUGGGCUGCUGAUCAUGAAAAUCACAAUGAAAUUUCCCUAUCGUGCACCGUUUUUUAAAAAUCACCUAUUUUUUUUCAAUUCAUAAUUCAAGUCAGAAUAACUGAAGCUAAGAUUGAGGAAAGCAUUUUUGUUAGUCCACAAAUCAAACAGGCCAUCAAUGAUAGGCAAUUUGAAGAACUUCUAAUGGAACUGGAGAAAAUCCAUGGAAGCCAUUCCAGGGUAUUGAAUAUUUUCUUGGCAACUACAGAGCACCAAACUACAUAAAUCUGUUUGGCAACAUACGUC
Hypanus sabinus (Atlantic stingray) is the source of this 8614-nucleotide long non-coding RNA. RefSeq lists it as uncharacterized. NCBI's taxonomy places the organism in Eukaryota, Metazoa, Chordata, Chondrichthyes, Myliobatiformes, Dasyatidae. The transcript is spliced from 4 exons. The record is from RefSeq and is a predicted model, not a curated record.